Long non-coding RNA from Serinus canaria (Common canary), 290 nucleotides. RefSeq lists it as uncharacterized. The transcript is spliced from 3 exons. The record is from RefSeq and is a predicted model, not a curated record. Lineage: Eukaryota; Metazoa; Chordata; Aves; Passeriformes; Fringillidae.
AGGCCACUUGCUGGACAUCGGGGCGGGGCACACUGAGGGAUUCACUGCUGGCUCCAUUGCCUUUUUGGUGCUCAAUGCUUUUUUAAUCAUUUUGGCUUCCUCUUUUAACGUGGUGCUGCUCUGCCUGACCCUGGCCAUGGAGCUCCUGACUGUUUGUUUUCUGCUUUUUACACUGGAGAACCUCCCUUUGCCAUUUGAAAUUGUGGUGCUGAGCAUCUUCAGUGCCAUCUGCUUCUACGGAGCCACAGCCUCUCUCACCAACUGCAUGUUUGGGAAGGACCUCCUGAUGA